Carassius carassius (crucian carp) is the source of this 785-nucleotide long non-coding RNA. RefSeq lists it as uncharacterized. The transcript has 3 exons. The record is from RefSeq and is a predicted model, not a curated record. NCBI's taxonomy places the organism in Eukaryota, Metazoa, Chordata, Actinopteri, Cypriniformes, Cyprinidae.
UCUGAAGAUGUGACACUGAAGACUGGAGUAAUGAUGCUGAAAAUUCAGCUUUGAUCAAAGGAAUAAAUUACAUUUUAACAUAAUAUUCACAUAGAAAAGAGUUGUUUUGAAUUGUAAUAGUCACAGUGUUGCUAUUUUACUGUAAUUUGAUUCAAUAAAUGGAGCCGUGGUGAGCAUAAGAGAUUUUUUAUAAAGGCAUAAAACAUCUUACAGACCCCAAACUCUUAAAUGGUUGUGUAAAUUACAGUAAUGAUGUUCCUCCCAGUUAAAUUUUAUUAAAAUGUAUUAAAUGUUACUCUGGCAUAUGCAGUCCAUUCUAUAGAGACUGUGUCUGUUCCCCAAAAACAGACAACAAAUAAUAUGUUUAUUAAGGGAUCUAGAAAAAUUAUUUCAGUUUAAACCUACUAGAUUAAAAAUAGUACUCAAUGUACUCCAUUGAUGAAAUAGUAAAAAGUGCACAUUGCCUGAAAUGAUAUGAACAGCAGCUAUGCUAAUCUUUCUCCCUUUGCCUUCCUGUUUCUGCAAAUGUCCAUCCCAGGGUUAUUAGAAACUGCACAGCACAGGACUUGCAGGACUUGUGAGGACUUCAGAUGAUACCAGUACUCAAAAGACCUUAGAUGAUGGCAACUAUAGAUGGACAUACAAACUACCGCCACUGCAAAAAAGAUUCUAAUUUGAAAGAAGUUUAUAAUGCAUGUUCGCUACUCCCAAUUCAGAAGACUGAAUCAGCCUGUGUAUCUGAAUGUUUCUCAUACUCACUCCUCUCUGCCGCAUCUGAAUUUAGC